AACGAACGCUGGCGGCAGGCUUAACACAUGCAAGUCGAACGCCCCGCAAGGGGAGUGGCCGACGGGUGAGUAACGCGUGGGAACAUACCCUUUCCUGCGGAAUAGCUCCGGGAAACUGGAAUUAAUACCGCAUACGCCCUACGGGGGAAAGAUUUAUCGGGGAAGGAUUGGCCCGCGUUGGAUUAGCUAGUUGGUGGGGUAAAGGCCUACCAAGGCGACGAUCCAUAGCUGGUCUGAGAGGAUGAUCAGCCACAUUGGGACUGAGACACGGCCCAAACUCCUACGGGAGGCAGCAGUGGGGAAUAUUGGACAAUGGGCGCAAGCCUGAUCCAGCCAUGCCGCGUGAGUGAUGAAGGCCUUAGGGCUGUAAAGCUCUUUCACCGAUGAAGAUAAUGACGGUAGUCGGAGAAGAAGCCCCGGCUAACUUCGUG
RNAcentral lists this ribosomal RNA (431 nucleotides) under uncultured bacterium. Its description in RNAcentral is "partial 16S ribosomal RNA". It matches the Rfam family "Bacterial small subunit ribosomal RNA", at positions 29 to 507 of the family's 1533-position model. The record is from RNAcentral.